Molecule: long non-coding RNA, 1784 nt
Filed under: Homo sapiens (human)
Lineage: Eukaryota; Metazoa; Chordata; Mammalia; Primates; Hominidae
Description: non-protein coding lnc-COL4A6-2:1
Source: RNAcentral
AUUAGAAACAAAUUUUGGUCGGUGCUCCCUGGGCUGCUGGUCUUCUUUACCUUCCAGCUGCUCACAGAACAGAGAGUUUCUACAUACAAGCAGAAGAUGUGAAAAUAUUGGGAAUAAAUAAAGUAUAUGCUUAUAAACAAGUUGUGGCUGCUCCUGGUUACGUUGUGCCUGACCGAGGAACUGGCAGCAGCGGGAGAGAAGUCUUAUGGAAAGCCAUGUGGGGGCCAGGACUGCAGUGGGAGCUGUCAGUGUUUUCCUGAGAAAGGAGCGAGACACAACUUGCAGCUACUGAAUGAUAUGGCUGGCCGGCUCUACCAUUUCAGUGAGGUUCUGCCUAAUCUCUUUUGAUUCUAAGGGGUAAUGUGGCUCAGCCACAGCAAGGAGGCUGAGUUCUGAUGUUCUCUUUCCCCAUACUUCUAUGGAAGACUGGAAGACAGAUUACUUGCAGUGAUUUCUGGAGGCAGAAGAUAAGCAAGUGGCCUCUAUGAUGGUAGAACCAAGAAAGAAUGAUCAUUGCCCUUAAGCCUUCAGAGAUGACAGCUAAAUCCAGAGGGAAAAUAAAUAGGGAUAAGAUUGUAAAAAAAGUUGCUGCUGGAGAAAAAAUAGCUGCUGCUGAUAAAGAACCUCAAUAAAUUCAAACAAUGUCUGCGUUUGGCCCUCAAAUGUCAUGCUGGCUCAUUGCUCGGGAGAAAGAGCCGUACAACUACCAUGUCAGAGGAGAUGAGGAAGCAAAGAAGUCUGACUAAGGGCACUGCCAUGGAUAUUCUUGCCCCUGCUUUGGAACAAUCUAUCAUUGGAUUGUGGAGAGGAAGCAAGGAGGCAGCUGGCAGUGUGACACCACGUGCUAUGACUCAUGACUGUUUUGCCUGAUGGUUGGCAACAUAGUAUUGGCACAGUUGUGGGCUCUAGAGUACCUGGGCCUGAAUCUCUAUUGAUAUGUGCCAUUUGGCAAAUUUCUAAACUCUAAGUCUUAGCUGUCUCAUAUACAAAAUGGGCAUAAUACAUCCUCCCUCAUAUGGUUGUUGUGAGGAUUAAUAAAACAGUGUUUAUAAAGUGCUUGGCACAGUGCUGAACACAUAGCAGUAAAUAAAUAUUAGUCAUUAUUAAUAUUAGCUGAUGCACAUUUGGGGGCAAUUUCAAGAAAGAAUUGAUUACAAUAGUAAAUUCAGACUAUGGCAUCUAUUGAUUGUUCCUUUUUAAAUGAACCAUUUUAAAUACAGUAAAAGCCCUCCUCCCUGGCCUCUGCUUAACUUCCUUUAUGGAGUAAGUCGAUGUUUUUCCUUCCUAUUGGAAUAUACACUGGCCAAUGCUCAGGGCACAAUGGAAGCUCAUGGGCAGGUAAGUUACUUCUGGUGAACACUUAUAUUUCUGCUUCCACACAACAAGUUGAUCACUUACCAAAAGUUAGCUGUGUUUUUGCCAAGCCCAUUUAUGGCAGUUGUACUCGUUAUUACAAGUAGGUAAUUUAAUGUAAAUUUGUGAAAUAUGAGUAUAAAAAGAAAACUAUUAUUUUCAUGAAAACUAAGUUCAAUGCUUUGGAAAGACUUACUAAAGAAAAGUUGCUUUUGAAAACUGCCAUAUUGUUAAAAAUAAAACAAAACUGAAAGUGGAAAUCAAAUGUGAUGCAUUAGGAAUGUAACUUACGUGAAAAAGAGUCUGUGAAAUCCCAGGGUGUGGCCUCACGCUCAAAGAAAAGGCCUUGGCCUUACAACACAUCACCAGAGUGGUGAAUGAAUGUACCUUUGUGUGUUUUAGGUUGAAAUAAAAUGUUUUAUGUAUGUAUA